This 119-nucleotide ribosomal RNA is filed under the name Pteropus alecto (black flying fox). The record is from RNAcentral. Lineage: Eukaryota; Metazoa; Chordata; Mammalia; Chiroptera; Pteropodidae.
GUCUACAGCCAUGCUCCCCUCAACAAGCUUGUUCCCAUCUGAUCUUGGAAGCUAAGCAGGGUCGGGCCUGGUUAGUACUUGGAUGGGAGACCACCUAGGAAGACUAGGUGCUGUAGGCA